Molecule: non-coding RNA, 321 nt
Organism: Nothobranchius furzeri (turquoise killifish)
Lineage: Eukaryota; Metazoa; Chordata; Actinopteri; Cyprinodontiformes; Nothobranchiidae
Source: RefSeq, a predicted model, not a curated record
UCCAAGACAUUUUUUCCUACCUCGGUCAACAACAUGAAUUUUGAGCCCCAAACACGUUAUUUCUGUUGUCUGUGGUGUCUACUAAGGAUCUAAAGUAAUCCUCGGGUGUCAGCAGGAGGUGGUGACCACCUGCAUAAUGGAGCACCCUGGUUCUGUGCCAGCUGCACCUUUGUGCUGCUCUUUGGGGAGCCAAUGCUCAGCAGACACAUGCCUCCAUGUGGUCAGGUGGUGUUGGUGUGAUCUGGGAGGGCACACUCAUGUCAUCAUCUCCUUGUGCCGUCUCCAGGAUCAUGAUGGGAGUUCUCUGUGCCUAUAAAGCAG